UACAGAGGUCCCAAGCGUUGUUCGGAUUCAUUGGGCGUAAAGGGUGUGUAGGUGGCGCGCUAAGUCGGGUGUGAAAUUUCGGAGCUUAACUCCGAAACUGCAUUCGAUACUGCCGUGCUUGAGGACUGGAGAGGAGACUGGAAUUUACGGUGUAGCGGUGAAAUGCGUAGAUAUCGUAAGGAAGACCAGUGGCGAAGGCGGGUCUCUGGACAGUUCCUGACGCUGAGGCACGAAGGUCAGGGGAGCAAACGGG
This 253-nucleotide ribosomal RNA is filed under the name uncultured bacterium. RNAcentral's name for it is "partial 16S ribosomal RNA". It matches the Rfam family "Bacterial small subunit ribosomal RNA", at positions 524 to 776 of the family's 1533-position model. The record is from RNAcentral.